CAGUAGCCGCGGGAAUACGAAGGGUGCAAGCGUUAAUCGGAAUUACUGGGCGUAAAGCGCGCGUAGGUGGCUUGGUAAGAUGGAUGUGAAAUCCCCGGGCUCAACCUGGGAACUGCAUCCAUAACUGCCUGACUAGAGUACGGUAGAGGGUGGUGGAAUUUCCUGUGUAGCGGUGAAAUGCGUAGAUAUAGGAAGGAACACCAGUGGCGAAGGCGACCACCUGGACUGAUACUGACACUGAGGUGCGAAAGCGUGGGGAGCAAACAGGAUUAGAUACCCGCGUAGUCCCUGUCUCUUAUAC
RNAcentral lists this ribosomal RNA (301 nucleotides) under uncultured bacterium. Its description in RNAcentral is "partial 16S ribosomal RNA". It matches the Rfam family "Bacterial small subunit ribosomal RNA", at positions 509 to 807 of the family's 1533-position model. The record is from RNAcentral.